This 286-nucleotide ribosomal RNA is filed under the name uncultured microorganism. RNAcentral describes it as "partial 16S ribosomal RNA". It matches the Rfam family "Bacterial small subunit ribosomal RNA", at positions 346 to 646 of the family's 1533-position model. The record is from RNAcentral.
GUGCAGCAGUCGAGAAUAUUCCACAAUGGGCGAAAGCCUGAUGGAGCGACACCGCAUGCGAGAUGAAGGCCCUAGGGUCGUAAAUCGCUUUUAUUAGGGAUCAAUGUACUGAGCGUACCUAAUGAAUAAGAGGUUACUAACUCUGUGCCAGCAGUAGCGGUAAUACAGAGACCUCAAGCGUUAUCCGGAUUUAUUGGGCGUAAAGCGUAUGUAGGCGGGUGUGUUAGUCGUGGGUCAAAUUUCAGAGCUCAACUCUGAAGCUGCUUACGAAACGGCACAUCUAGAG